UACGAGGGGGGCAAGUGUUGUUCGGAAUCACUGGGCGUAAAGGGAGCGUAGGCGGGAAUUUAAGUUGGAUGUUUAAACCUGGGGCCCAACCCCAGCUCGGCAUCCAAAACUGGAUUUCUUGAAUAGUGGAGAGGUAGAUGGAAUUUCCGGUGUAGCGGUGGAAUGCGUAGAUAUCGGAAAGAACACCAGUUGCGAAGGCGAUCUACUGGACACAUAUUGACGCUGAGGCUCGAAAGCAUGGGGAGCAAACAGG
This 253-nucleotide ribosomal RNA is filed under the name uncultured bacterium. RNAcentral's name for it is "partial 16S ribosomal RNA". It matches the Rfam family "Bacterial small subunit ribosomal RNA", at positions 524 to 776 of the family's 1533-position model. The record is from RNAcentral.